AAGUCGAACGGUAGAGGGGGUCAACCCCUUGAGAGUGGCGAACGGGUGAGUAAUAUAUCGGAACGUGCCCAGUCGUGGGGGAUAGCGUAGCGAAAGCUACGCUAAUACCGCAUACGAUCUAUGGAUGAAAGCGGGGGAUCGCAAGACCUCGCGCGAUUGGAGCGGCCGAUAUCAGAUUAGGUAGUUGGUGAGGUAAAGGCUCACCAAGCCGACGAUCUGUAGCUGGUCUGAGAGGAUGACCAGCCACACUGGAACUGAGACACGGUCCAGACUCCUACGGGAGGCAGCAGUGGGGAAUAUUGCACAAUGGGGGAAACCCUGAUGCAGCCAUGCCGCGUGUGUGAAGAAGGCCUUCGGGUUGUAAAGCACUUUCAGUGGGGAGGAAGGGGCGAUGUCUAAUACGCAUUGUCAUUGACGUUACCCACAGAAGAAGCACCGGCUAACUCCGUG
This 450-nucleotide ribosomal RNA is filed under the name uncultured bacterium. Its description in RNAcentral is "bacterial SSU rRNA". It matches the Rfam family "Bacterial small subunit ribosomal RNA", at positions 59 to 507 of the family's 1533-position model. The record is from RNAcentral.